Molecule: ribosomal RNA, 1359 nt
Filed under: uncultured bacterium
Lineage: Bacteria
Description: bacterial SSU rRNA
Rfam family: Bacterial small subunit ribosomal RNA
Source: RNAcentral
GAUGAACGCUAGCUACAGGCUUAACACAUGCAAGUCGAGGGGCAGCAUUUCAGUUUGCUUGCAAACUGGAGAUGGCGACCGGCGCACGGGUGAGUAACACGUAUCCAACCUGCCGAUAACUCGGGGAUAGCCUUUCGAAAGAAAGAUUAAUACCCGAUGGUAUAAUCAGACCGCAUGGUCUUGUUAUUAAAGAAUUUCGGUUAUCGAUGGGGAUGCGUUCCAUUAGGCAGUUGGUGAGGUAACGGCUCACCAAACCUUCGAUGGAUAGGGGUUCUGAGAGGAAGGUCCCCCACAUUGGAACUGAGACACGGUCCAAACUCCUACGGGAGGCAGCAGUGAGGAAUAUUGGUCAAUGGGCGCAGGCCUGAACCAGCCAAGUAGCGUGAAGGAUGACUGCCCUAUGGGUUGUAAACUUCUUUUAUAUGGGAAUAAAGUUUUCCACGUGUGGAAUUUUGUAUGUACCAUAUGAAUAAGGAUCGGCUAACUCCGUGCCAGCAGCCGCGGUAAUACGGAGGAUCCGAGCGUUAUCCGGAUUUAUUGGGUUUAAAGGGAGCGUAGGUGGACAGUUAAGUCAGUUGUGAAAGUUUGCGGCUCAACCGUAAAAUUGCAGUUGAUACUGGCUGUCUUGAGUACAGUAGAGGUGGGCGGAAUUCGUGGUGUAGCGGUGAAAUGCUUAGAUAUCACGAAGAACUCCGAUUGCGAAGGCAGCUCACUGAACUGCAACUGACACUGAUGCUCGAAAGUGUGGGUAUCAAACAGGAUUAGAUACCCUGGUAGUCCACACAGUAAACGAUGAAUACUCGCUGUUUGCGAUAUACAGUAAGCGGCCAAGCGAAAGCAUUAAGUAUUCCACCUGGGGAGUACGCCGGCAACGGUGAAACUCAAAGGAAUUGACGGGGGCCCGCACAAGCGGAGGAACAUGUGGUUUAAUUCGAUGAUACGCGAGGAACCUUACCCGGGCUUAAAUUGCAUUUGAAUAUAUUGGAAACAGUAUAGCCGUAAGGCAAAUGUGAAGGUGCUGCAUGGUUGUCGUCAGCUCGUGCCGUGAGGUGUCGGCUUAAGUGCCAUAACGAGCGCAACCCUUAUCUUUAGUUACUAACAGGUCAUGCUGAGGACUCUAGAGAGACUGCCGUCGUAAGAUGUGAGGAAGGUGGGGAUGACGUCAAAUCAGCACGGCCCUUACGUCCGGGGCUACACACGUGUUACAAUGGGGGGUACAGAAGGCAGCUACCUGGUGACAGGAUGCUAAUCCCAAAAGCCUCUCUCAGUUCGGAUCGAAGUCUGCAACCCGACUUCGUGAAGCUGGAUUCGCUAGUAAUCGCGCAUCAGCCAUGGCGCGGUGAAUACGUUCCCGGGCCU